Molecule: long non-coding RNA, 26778 nt
Filed under: Musa acuminata (dwarf banana)
Lineage: Eukaryota; Viridiplantae; Streptophyta; Magnoliopsida; Zingiberales; Musaceae
Description: long non-coding RNA (MACU_LNC007621)
Source: RNAcentral
ACGAGUCCACCAAGCAACUGGGCAAGUCACGUAUACAAAGACUGAUUAUCCUACUGAUUCUCUUUCGUCACCAACAAAUACAGAUUCCACUCGAACCGCAUCCGCUUCUUAUACGGAUCUAGCUUCUGAUCUUUCAACUUCCACUAAACUUUCAUCUCCAAACAAUACUCGGGACAUUCCGUUUAGUGUGAUAAUAAAGUUAUAGAGCAGAGUUCGACCACACCCCGCAUAUAAGUUCGUAAGGAUAAGGUGCUGUAAAGCCUUACCACUCUUUUGAAUCUGACCUAUUACUUGCACCAAUACUUAAACAGAAACAGUAACUCCACUUGAGGAACUGCUACGUAGGGGGGGCAUUCGAAAAUAGAGUCAAUUCGGCUUGCAACUUACUUUAGCACAGCUUCCACAGCUUCUGAUCUCGUUGACAACAAAGAAGCAACCAUCUAUUAAUUUCUCACGUUAGUGGCGAGUUACAGAAACAAGGGAUGCUAGUAGAACAGGCAAUUUGGACUUCACUUCCCAAGUUGUUUGAUUAGAAAAGCAAAUGCACCUUAUCCGACAUAGACCAACAAAAAGGGAAGGGCUUCAAUCACAUCAGUGGAAUCGAAAACGGAAUGAGAAGACAUACUCGAGAAAAAAGAGAAGCUCAUAUGCUCAUACCAAACAAAGAGAAAACACUAUGAAAAUCAGAAGACUCGGCUCGGCUCCUUUUCAUAUUGAAUUUACCUAGUUGGAAAUAAGGACUAGAGGGAAUAGCCUACAUGGACGAGAGCACGGAAUAAACUAAACUACCAGACCCCCGUAAUGCAAAUGCAGUACUUAACUUACGGAGCAGUUAGAACCUGAAGAUGCAAAGCGAAAGCGAAUUGGAUGAUGUGGGUGAGCUACUCCUCAGGUGACUCCCGGGUGGGGAGUGACUUUCACUAGCAAAAGAAAAAGCGCCCAUGCGUGUAGCACCGGUUCCGGCGACUCUUUAUAGAUGUUAUUUCCGAUAUCCUGGACUCCAUAAAGGAAUGAACAAAUUACUGAGCUACUAGAAUCAAUCGAAUAUUCCACUGAUGAAUGGAGGCUAAGCCUAUUGAGAACAGCUUACUAGAGCCCACUUUCUUUCACUUUUGUAUCUAUUUCCAUUGAAGUCCUCUCCUGUUCGGUACUAUCCAACUCGGGUCUUCGUGGAAAAGCACACUAUCUUGUAACAACACUUGUUUGCCAGCUUUCCGUUUUCGAAAGAAAGGUGUUUCAGGGCUUUUCCCUGUUUGAUUUCGAUUAGUUAGUAAGUAUAAGAAGGCACUCUAUAGACCUAUAGACUCUCAUAGAUAGAUGCGAAUAGGCGCAUAGGCGCUUUGGUACUCAAGCGAGAAAGGUGGCUUGGCUAGAUUACAUAGAAGAAGCGCGCGUAAGGGAAUCAGUAACCGUUGCUACCCCUGCUCGAGUUUAGGUCAUUGUGAAAUCAUCCACUGCUCUCGUAACCCUUGCUUGGCUCUCUCCUGUUGAUUAUGCCUGAUCUGAUGAUUAGUUAGCUUAGGAUCGGAGGUACAACCAACCGGGUUUUGUAAAACGAGUCCUGUGUUCGGCAACUACUUUUCUAUUUCCUACUCCUGUUACAGUUCUAGUUCUCAAGUCAGCAAUAAGGUAUAGAACAACUUAUUAAUAUGAACCAUAUCUAUAUGAUAAAUCAACUAUAUGAUAAAGUAAAGAUCCAAUUCUAUAAGGGCGGGGGAAAAAGGCAUUCUUUCUAUUCGAACUUGAAACAUAUUAUACCUACUGCCCAGGGAUAGCUUUGAAGAAACUUCCCCGCACACUCCUACAAGGCUCAUCGGCUAUGCAAUCCUGUUCCUUAUGAACUCUUUGAAGGGACAUUAUUGUAUUACAACUUUCCUUCUCUUCCUUUUGUUCCUUUUAUCCCGUUGGUAACUCUAACUCAGACGCAGGUUAUCUAAUAUAUGGGCUCGUUUUCGUGGAUCGAACGAGAAACUCCAACUAGCACAAUUGACUAAGGACAAUGAUGAGAUAAUGAAUUUUGCUGUGCCUUCUGUCUGUAAGAGGAAAGGAACGAAAACAGGUGUAAUUAGGACUGGUUCGAGUCUUGUUGGCACUGGCUGCAUUCUCUCCCUUGCUAGCUCCACUCCUGAUAGUUAGUGCUUUCAGUCUGUUGGUGCACUGUUUGGUUCUUUGCCUCUCCGGAGUCAACUAAUACUUACACAUAGCAUCUUUUAUCUCUUAACUAGCACAUAGCAUCUUUUCUCUUAACUAGCACAUAGCAUCUUUUCUCUCUAACAACUACUGGCUCUGCUCUAACUGGUUCUCUGGCCUACCACCCUAACUAGCAAGUAAGUAAACAAGCCCGACCCCUAGCCUUGUAAUCGAAUGAAACAACUACCCGCAAAGUCAGUCAACAAAGUAAGUCAACUCCUUUCUUUUUGUAUGCCGACCUCCACUCCCUUACCUGUCAACUGGACCACUACUUGAAGGCCCUGUUCUUGAGAUAUAGUAGUUAAGGUUUGAUUCUAUAGUAGUUCCGGAUAACUCCUUUAGCGCCUAAGUCUGCUUAUCUUGCGCAGGGAAGGAUACUCUACUAUACCUUAGUCAACACCUAUAGCUCGUUCUAUUAUACCUUAGUCAACACCUAUAGCUCUGGCAACUGGAAACAAUUCUCAAUUGAAACUCCUUAGCUUCCCUUACUCACUGGAGCCGACUCACUACAAACAAGGAUUACACUAGAGCCCCCCGACACCGAUUCUUUCUCUUAUGACUGCCAAUUACUUAAGGGCAGAUUCCACAGGCACUUGACCUUGAACUGAACCCUCUCUGUAAGGACAAUCACCUCUCUCUCCUUGCAAAGAAAUAUGUAUUCACCCCUUGAAAUUGACUAUAGAGGCCUCUGCUACUGACAACAAUUCUCUACUUCCUGAACCCACCUCUGUUAUUGAUAACUUGACUAGCUUCCUCUCCUCUGGAAACCGAACCCCAUAAUAGGCGCACCCGAGCUCCACUUGAAGAAUAGAAAUAGAACAGGCUAUUCGUUGUCGAUUCUGAAUCCCUAGUUUAGUCUGCUUUCCUUAAUAAGAAAGAAUGCAUUUUGUAUGGCUUUUUGUAUACUGUGUGUCUACUUAUUCGGGCCAAGCGUCUACUAACGAGUUGAAUUCUGUUACUACUUAGUUUGAUUACCUCAUUGGCUGCCUCAGCUACUGAUUCCACUGGACCACUACCUAGCCUAGAUCUACUCUUUGGACCACUACUAGUUGGGGAUGAAACUCUAACCAUUAACAUCAGGGCUGUCUCUUUGAACUUCCACUACUAUACCUUAAUUCUUAUCCGCAUCCCUUAACUACAUAAGAGAAUUCAACCACUAACAACAAGAAUGAAGGGUCGCACUAAGGAAUCAGAGAAGAAUAAGUAGGAGUAGCUCCAUUCUUAGAUGAACUGCUUCAAGCCUUCAACCAGUAACUACAAGUCUUCCCUAUGACCAGAAAACCGAUACUAAGUAUUCCCUAUCUAUGACCAGAAGUCCUAUAAGAUAAGAAUGAUACCUAUGACCAGAAAGCCGCAUAGAGUAUAUUCUUCCCUAUGACCAGAAAGCCGCAUUGAACUACUUCUUCCCUAUGACCAUAAAGCCGCAUCUAAGUAAGGGAAUGUUACUAAGGAGUGAAAGAAUCGAACCGCCAAGCAACGGCGCAAGACGUUGGGCGGCAGCAACAAUAAGAUAUAUUACACGUUAUAAACAAGUCCUUAGUUCGGCAUCUCAGCCUUAAACCAGUCAAUCCAAGGCUUAAACCCAGUAGUCCAAGAACCAAGCAAGUGCCACUCAUUCUUCAACUCGAUCCAAUCAGACACCAACCCUUGCUAACCAGACUCAGGCAUCUAACUAUCAGGCUGAAACAAUUGAGUUACAGACUGAAGCUAAGGAGUCCAAGCCUGAAAGCAGUGCAUCACAGCCUGAGAGCAAAGGUAACUAGCCUGAUGCCGGGUAGGCUCGGAAUGGAGUUAACUCAUUAAAGACUGAUACCGGGUAGGCUCAGAAUGAAGCUGAUCGGUGGAAGACUGAUACCGGGUAGCCAAAGAGUCGAGGCCGGCAAAGAAUGGAACGAGUGAGGCAAAGCAUGAAACCACUCCCACUGAUUCCCUGCAUGUCUAGUUAAGGAAUCCCACCGAUUCCCCGCAUCCUGGUAUUGGUAUGUAAGCCCUCGACACCUAACAACAAGCCUGAACGUGUCUUUUGAUUGAUCAGAAUUGACCUCACUCCAACGCAACUCCAAUGGAUUGAACUAGGGUUGGCAGCUAAGCAAGUAGUAAUGGGGCUGCUGGGCUGCUAAGUUCAAAGAGAUACUCCGGCCGGGCUAGCUCCUCAUGAAGUUACUAGUUAAAGAAUUCCCCCAGUCAGUCUCAGAAUUGCACUUGAUAGUGUCCAAGAAUGGAACGAGUGAGGGCAGGCUUAUGCUGUGUAGUAUGGGUCUCUAACAAGGUAGCUAAGGUCUCCAAUCAGUGCUCCUCGGGCUGAUACCACUGUUGCUAAGGCUUCACUCAGUACUGCUCGGAAUGGAGCUCAGGGGCUUAACUCGCUACCGCGCAACAUUAUACUAAGCUUGGUUAUCCGUGUCUUGUCUAGUAGUUGCUUGGUGCAUCUAGUAAUGGUUCGGGAGUUUACUAUGACCCAAUUAGUAAUAACAUAAUAAUUCCACUUGACUUGAUACGCGCGGCAAAGAGAACUCAGUUAGCACAGAUCAGUUCUAAACUCCCUUAGCACAGAGGUUAUCCUACAUUGGAAGCCCUUAUAUUAAGUCGGAGUGAAAGGCUUAUCGGAAGAUUUGUAAUAGUCUCCUUAGCAACUAGGCAAGAAGGGAAUAGCUACCUGUGAAACUCACUCUCUUACUUAAGUCUAGGAAAGGUUUACUUGUGUUGGUGCUUACGCUCUAACUACUUGCUAUUUCCUAUUGCUUCUACUUCCAUAUCUAUAUUUUGAGUACCUAUAUUGACUAUUGAUGAUUCUUAGCCCGCGGAUCGGUUAAAUAGAAAGUCAGAGGCUUGUAUAGUGGAUCUCGCCCAGUAGAGUCAGCUACAAAUAGUUCUUAAAGUGGAGUGCUUGUGUUAUCGCAUCAAUAAGCCUCAUCCCUUUUCGAAUGAUCAACUGCUUCAGCUUGCUCUGUGUGUGCUGAUAUUCCUUCUUCAGCGUUAGCUGUUCUUGUUUCAUCUUAGAGAUCAGUUCUUGGUGCUUUACCCUACCCUAGUAAUCCUAUAUAGAAGCAGUGCGAAACAGAAUAAACAAGUAUCGAGUAUAAAAGGACACUAAAGCAUAAACGAGCAGUAUCAUAAACGAGAGCAUGGGAUAAGAAAAAUAUGAAAGUCUAGUUUUCUCGUAUAAAGAAAGAAGAUCAGAUCAUAUCAUAUCUUUGCGAACGAAUGCUAUUAUUAGGGCUUAGGCGGAAAUUCAAUCUACACACGAACCCCAUAAAAUGACUUGACUAUACUAACUAAAGGUAGAGGCAGAGAAGAGGUACCUAGUUGUACUGUUCUUGAUUUCCUCGCCCAGCAGCUGGCAACAAGACCUUAAUUAUUACUUGCUUCAUUUAGUACAACCUUUACCUCCCAUUCUUAGUCAUGAUUUCAAGUAAAGACAUACACCGAACAAGUAAUGUUUUCGGCGAGUCAGGGGAGUUGAGUUAGCUUUAGUUUCGUCUCUUUCUGUUCUUGUUGAAUGAAAGUCGUAGCUUGGUUAGUGAAAUACCUGAGUAGUAGUUACUUCUAGUAGUAGUCGUCCUGUUUCACCAGUAUAGUAGUCAAAAGUACAGAGGCAUAGUUUAGGUCGGCAGCAAAUCUUAAUGAAGUUAUAGGAGCUGAGGCAGAAGAUAACUUGAGAGUUGAGAGCGCAGUUACCCUCUAUUACUAGGUUAGAGGAAUUAAUACCUUAUGUACUAGACAAACUACCCGACCCUACUUCUUGUGUUCGCCUUGGAAACUACCCGACCCUACUUCUUGUGUUCGCCUUGGAUUAGUUCUAUUCUAACUUUCACUAUGGAGUUGCCCUAUAUGCAGGCCUAGUAAGGGAAGAAUGGGAAAUAUGAGGUCAAUUCUAAGAUUGACUGGGUUGAUUCUUGCUGGUACUGGGUGAAUUCUUGCUGGUACCAGUUUGACUCUUGUUGGCACUAGCCUCAUUCUGGUUAGCACUUGUUUAAGUCGGGUUGUUAGUGCUUUCAGACUUGUAGUUACUUGUUGUGGAGUAGUCCUAUGUCCGAGGUAGGAAAUGGAGAGCAUGUCUAGCUCUUUUGAAACUAGUUAAGUCUAUUAGUUCAGAGGAGUUGUGAUAAAUAAGAAACCUAUGUGUGUUCUCCCCUAUGUGUGCUCUCCUCUGGCUCUGGCUCUGCGCCCUUGUUUCUUGACUGUAGUAAUGUCUUGGCGGGUCACAGCUAAAUCUCAAUUAAGUGAAAUUCUGAUCUAUUAUACUAUUUCUUAGAAUGCGUAAGAUUUGUAGUAAUUAUGACCAGUGCUCUUCUCCGGUCUUCAACUCUGAUAACUAUACUAGCUCAUCCAAUAACUAUACUAUAUAACUCAGUGCAAGUACUUUAUUAUGUCCCUGAACUCAGACUUAUUAGUUGCAGUCUGGCUUUCCUACUAACAAGUGGAAUUAUUACUCUCCCCUAUUAACGAGUGGAAUUAUUACUGUUUAAGAGCACAUGGUAGGCGAUAGGGAGGUUAUAGCGCUUGUGUGAAGCUAUGAGGGUAAUGUCCGAUAGUUCUGGUAAGUAAAGAGUUUAGCCUAUUGGACGUGGGUGCCCAGUAGUGGUCCUGUUGCAUAAGUAAGUAGGUUGAGAGUAGCUAGUUUCAAUCUUAUUAGUAGUGGUAGAUAGGUCGGGUGCCCCAACAAAGGAUUUCUAGUAGUGUCUUGGCGGAACAGGUAAUGAUUCUGCUUUAGUGUCAUUCUUCUUAGUAGUGGUAGAUAGGUCGGGUUGAAUCCCCAACUAGUAGUUGUCUAGUCCCACAACAAGUAGUUUCGUAGUUUCAUCAGUGAUAGUUUCGGUUUGAUACGAGGUAAAGUACUUGCUUUGUUGCGAGGUGUGGUCCACAGAAUGGAGUUUCUUACUAUUCUACCAGUCCUUUUCAGCACUAACUUAGCCACUUAUAUAUCUGCGAAUCUUCAAACAAGCCCCAAGCCGGGAGUGAUAGUGUCAAGUAAGAAGGAAGGUAGAAAACCAUCGAAUAGGAUUUAGCUAUGAGGGUAGAAAACUAAAGAAGAACACCGGCGUGAGUGACGGGACAAAGGUCAGAAUCUACUUCACAUCAAUUUACUAGGUUUUGGCGAGAGCGAGGUCUCAGCACUCCAGCCUUGAUGAGUUUAUACCUUAGGAGCUGUUGCUAAGGAGUCCAAUCAAUAUUAGUAUAGUAUGCCUUGUGUGACUCAUUUCUGAAUGUUACUCAAAUCUGAACAGAACAGAGAGGGUCUCAGUCUCUCUUGCCUGCUUGCCUACUUGCGAUGUGCUCGGGAGCCAGAGGCGAGGAAGUAUUAGUUGACCAGUAGUAGCCAGUUGCCAUAGGUGGAGUAGCCAUAGGUCAGAGGUGGAGGAGACAGAGAGGGAUUAGCCUCAUUCAGUUAGCGGAGAUGCUCUAGUCCACUGGCUUUGAUGCCAUAAGUACCGAGAGUGGGAGUCGAGGUAGGAAAGGGAGGCAGUUAAGUAAGAAGGAGAGGCUAGAGUUACUAUAGAUAGAUGAGGAACCACUUUCUUAGUUUACAGAGCCAGAGUAGAGUUAUAGGAGCCGAAUGAAGCAAGUAAGUACGACUAAGGUAGUAGCGUGGUAGAGCCUGAGUGAAAAGAGGAAGUCGAGAGGAAUAAAGUAUGGGUCAGUGAAGCUACUUUGAUAUGCGCGUUAACCUGGACUUGAAGAAUGGAAUCUAUCUUGCGCUGAAGCAUAAGAAGGAAAGUCCACUCAAGAAUCUACAGUUAAUCAGUCAGUUAAUCUGUUAAGGCGAAAGUCCGCGCUAAAGUCAGCAGCAAGUGCAAUUAAUAGAGUUGCGGGUCAGUUAAUAAGUCUUGUUAACCUUAAUCGGGAGUUCUUUGAAUGCUAAGGCGCAACAAGUAUCGAUCGUAUAUCAAAGGGUUAUUAGAGAAUCAUAAGAGUCAGAAUAGGUUCAAUGAAAUGAUUCAGGGUUAACUCGCUAGCAGAAGCGCACUGAAGUAGGGUCUCUUUCCGUUCUUGAAAAAGGGAAUGGACUGUUCGACACUUGACAUCAAUCUAUAUCAAGUGUGACUUAUAGAAAUUCCAUUCAAUCAACUAUGACUUUCGAGUGGAAUCGACAAGAUCUUCCGCUUUAGGGCGAGCGAGUGUUGUUGCCCUUACUUAUAACGGUUGGUGACUCGAGAGGAAAAGCACUUGAAAGAGCAACAGUAUACUUAAGCUUUAUCACAAGCACCGCUACUGAACUUAGUCUUGCAUCGGUUGGACCUGCUCCUACUCCCAAUACGCUUCUCAUUCAAUGCUCCUACUCCCAAUACGCUUCUCAUUCAAAGCGCUUAGACCUGCUCCUAUCCAAUAAUUUGGUAACCAAACAUAGCAGAUAGUUUUUCUCACGAAUAGAGGCACCUUCUCCAAAAUAACUCCUUAAGCCCAUUAAUUAAGGGCACAGGACAAAGUAAAGUCCAUUCUUUCUGCUCCCCUACAAUACUUGCUCGUUGAAAGUAGAAAGUCAAGUCUCAAGAUAGCGUUUUGAAAUCCGAUAUAUUCCUGUAGUAGUAGACCGGAUAUUAAAGUAGUCGACGAGACGACCGGCUCCAUCUAAGUGGAAAGUAGUAGACCGGCUCUAAGUGCAUUGUUUUGUUACUAUGUUUCUAUAAGUUGUGCAAAUGACUCUAUAGCGAGGGUUAGGAAUAGCUAGACGAGUUUUAGAGCAGCAAAGAGUAAGCAGUGAGGAGUAAGGGAAGCAAGAAAGCUAGUAAAUAAGAAAUAGCAAAAAAGUGAGUAAAUAAGUAUAAGCAAGAAAGCUAGUAAAUAAGCAUAAGCAAUCUAUUGUAAGUCCACAAGCGCAAGGGCUAAUGAGCAAGCUAGGGAAGGGCGCAAGUAGAACAAGUAACUAAGCAAAGGUAAAACCCAUAAUAGAGAAAUCCACGAAAGGACAAACACAACCACUAAUUGCUCCACCUAGACAACAAACACUGAUUGACUUAGCGCUUCAUCUGUUCCCCUGUAUGGGUACUUUGCACUUCAUCCGUUUUAUACCCAACCAGUAUCUGUACACACACCUAUAUUCAAAAGUUCUAGAGCUAUUAUGUCUAUUCUAUUCUUAAAGAAAGAAACUAGUGGUGCGGUGCAUCAGCAAAGGACUAUAAACUGGAAAAGAACCACGCAGACAAGUGACUAUUUCGGGAACAAGCAAAGGUCCUAGUGAGCGAGGUGGGAUCCUUUUGUAAGUAGUCAUAUGUAAGUUCUCAUAGAAUAUGUAUUUGCACUAAAUGUAAAUGAGGGAAUUGAAGGGUUACUGAGCACUGUCCCUACUGUCCCUACUGCAGCUAGGUUCAUGCUUGACUUUGUUGCCAGUAUCGUUUAGAGUUGCCAGUAUCAUAUAGAGUCGCCAGUAUCAUAUAGAAAAGAAAGGUGCUGAAAGCCUCCGCCUCCGUCCUGAUAGUGCUUAGUCCGCCUAUGUACCUAUUGUUAGAGUCUGACUCCGUCCUGAUAGUGCUUAGUCCGCCUAUGUACCAUUGUUGUUAUUGUCUGUCCAUGUACUAUUGUUGUUAUUGUCUGCCUAUGUACUAAUUUCUAGAGUAUAGGGAAAGGCUGCCUACAUUCGAUUAGAGUAUAGGGAAAGGCUACCUACAUUCGAUUACUUAGAGUCAGCAUCUGCAGUCAUAGGUGAGGAAGCAAGGUAACAACAAGUAAUGGAAGAAAACAUCAUUAUUCUCGUUGUUAUUUGUUAUUGUAGCUUGUUUGUUUUGUUGCGCGUAAGGGAGAUCGCUCGGCCGUGUAGCGUUAGGCUUCUCGCGUGGGGUGCGUUAGUUUAGUUAGUUCCAGAUAGGGAGCUCGGUUAGCUUCAAGUUGAGUGCUUAAGGAGUUAGGUUUCAACAAGCAGUUUCGUUUUGGUGAGGUUUCAACAAGCAGUUUCGUUUUGUAUAUUAUUCUAUCUGUGAUUUAGCAGUAAAGUUCUAUUUAGAUUAUUAUGCUAUCUGUGAUUUAGCAGUGAAGUUGAGCAGGGAAGUUAUGUAUAUUAUUAUUAUUCCAUCUGUGUGCACAGUUAUAUGCAAAUGAAACAAGUAAACAAGCUACGACGCUAGAGAGCUAUGGAGUCAAGUAAGCUGUAAGCCGUGAGUGUAAGUAGUGAGUAAGCAAACAGUUCUUUUCUUUCAAAGGGAUAGUCAGGAUCAGAGUACCAUCAACAAUAGAAUAAGCAGUGUAGCGGUGAAGAAGAGGCGUCGACAAAAGAUGGAUCUGGAGUAGUAGAAUAGGAAAGAGAUGGAUCUGCAGCGAGAAGGAAAGAAAGACUCGUAGAAGUCCCAUGUGUUAAGCAAGUAGUAAAUGAAGUGUUUUUGGUGCUUAGUAGUUACUUGUCUGCGGGUAGUCAAUUCCUAUAAUUAAUAGAAUGAAUAAUAGAUGUAGUUGCAGACACGCAUAACAGGAGUGAAACCCAGCAGUCCAAUAAGUAGUAACACAUAAUGGGUAGCAAGUAGACAACAAAUAGUAGGCUUGCAAGGUAAGAAAAGAGACGAGGUCAACUAAUGAGGAUUAUCAGGCUCACUUUCAUUCUGACUUGCUUCAUUCGGUAACUAGACAUACCUAUUGCUCAUCCACGGGGUAGUCAAUAUAGAACCUGUCUGGUCAGGCAAUUCAACUUACUUGUUUCAUCUUAUAAAUAAGCAAAGCAGGAAGUACUGAGAAUUGUUCUCUCCCUUGCUGAAACUGACUAUAGAGGCCUCCAGUGUUAACGCCUACCCAUCCUCACCAGACUUUAGAUCUUGAGUUUGAUACCUGAAUUCUGAUAUAAUACCUGGACUACUCCUAGUUUCAGGGUCUGGAAACCAACUCUUCUUAGAAAAAGAAUGAAACCUCUUCCGCGGUCAGUCCUUAAGUAGAUUGAUUGAUUUCCUCCCCACAACAACACCGGACCUGGAAUUGGUCAUAGUGUUUUUCCCUUUGCCAGAGCAGCUGGUAUAUAAGUGGCACACAGGACAAAGAUCUUCAAGCCAGCCGGGGAGACAGGUAAUUAUCCAUUUGCUAUCCGUCAAGCAAUUACUGUAUAAGGCAAGGCCAGGUAAUUCAUAAGCUUACUUGCGCACUGCUUCUAUAUGGUAAGGAAUUACUUCAUUUCACUCAUAUGACCAACCCACUCGUACUGUCUCGUCUCCAACUUACUAUAAGGGCCUCUCCAUCUUUACCGCAACACUAUGAUCUAUCUUUUAGGGCAGGGUUCAGAAUGGAAUCAGAUAUUUAUUUAAAAGAAAGAAAGAAAUCCACCAAGCCACUUUUCGAGGGGCGCGGUAGCGCUGUUCCUAAGAUCGAAAGAAAGAAAAGUUGAUAAUUGCCGGGCAACGCUCCUCCGCUGCUGCUAGGGGAGAAAGAGCUACUGUUGCUAAUGUUGCUAAGUAUAUGAAUAGUAUUACUGUUGCUAAGGAGUCAAAGAAAUACUUUCUUUCUUGCCUUACUGAGUUGACUUAUACUAACUGCUUCUUACUGAGUUGGCUUAUACUAACUGCUUCUUGGAAGGUUAUAAACAUUAUCCCGCAUCUGGUACAAAGAUAGAAGAAAUGAAACCACUGUAUGCCCUUAGUCUGCCCUUAACCCCUGGGCUGGGAUACAGUCAAGCAAGAUUUGUUUCCAGUGUGGGAAGUCCCUGUUCCGAGUUGAGUUCACCGUUACAUAUUAGCUUACCCUUACUUGCACGUGAGGAGAGUUAUCGUCCUUUAACAAUUAACAAGUUCAAGCGCUCUUUCGAGUCCUUUACUUUAGUUCUCUAGCUUAUGCUCCUGCUCAAGCUUAUGAUCCUAAUCCGGUUUAUUAGCCUUAUCCUUCUUAUGCCCAUAAUCUCAAUAAGGCAAUCAAUCAGUGACGUGCAUGUGAUAAUGUUGUGUUGUUCCAGAGGUGUUAUCGACCAGAGGUGUGUAUUAAUAAGUUCCCUAACUCGAUAUAUGCGCGCUAAGUGAGAAAGUCGUCAACGGAUUGUUCUGCUCUAGCUCCUUGUAGUUUCAUUGAAGUGCAAAGAGGGUUUUGUCCCGCUGUAGCUGGUGGUAUUGUUGCUGGGUGCUCAAGAGGUUAUUGUCCCGCUUCUGCUGGUGGUAUUGUUGCUGGGUGUGAAAUAGGAAAGGUUCUUUACCUUUGUAAGUUAUACGAGAAUAUCCUUAUGAAGCGAGGUACGGUCGACCAGAGAAUCAGUAGUAACAAGAUCUGAAGCCGGGUAGCUGAGUAGAAAGAAGUCAGUAGAAUCCGUAUUUGUAGCCAGCUGGGUCGAUAAGGGAAGGAGCAGUGGGAUUAGAGUCUAGGCCUCUUAGAAGAAGUAGGCCCUAAUAGGCAGUUUGCCAGUACAGUAGUAUACGCUUGAGGCUGUCAAGAGAGAGUAAGCCUUGGUUUGUUAGAGAAUAGACCAAGCAACUAAGUAAGACGUUGGGCGUGUUAUAAGAAGUUAGAAACAAGUCCUGUGCUCGUGAGCCCUAUAUUUGUUAACUACGGUAUCGGAGCCGAGGGGCAUAUUAGCCAGCCGGAGUUAGGUUAGUUUCAAGAGCAAGAGAGGAUCCAGCAGCAGUCUCAUAAGUAUAGUAGUCUGAUUCUGGUUCUAAAGUCAGGGUAAGGCAGGAAAGAAGGAAUGAGUCUCUGGUAUUAGCACAGGGCGUGUUGCAGCUAGGUGUCGUAGAUAAUGUCCUGCUCCUGCUGAACUUAAGUAAUUGGUUCAAGUAUUAUACCUGCCCCGUGUUACCAAUCCGCAUCGGAGUUAGUGUAUUUGUAAAGGAGUUCCAGAGGUAUCCCAGAUGGAUGAGAAGUGGAAAUGUGUUUUUGAUUUCCCUCCUGAGCGAGGUAUCGAUUAUCAGCCAGGUAAUUGGUACUUUCUCCGGGUCCUGUCAAACCGGAAAGUAGAAAACGGAAUACAGUGAUUAAAGAAGCAAGUCAGAAUAAUGAAUAAUAAUAGGGUAUAUAAUAAUAGGGUAUAUAAGAAUAGUAAGUACAGGUACUCUCUAGCGGAUCUAGUAGAGUCGAUGAGAAAGCUGCUUGUUUCAUCUGUAUUUGUUGCAGUUUCAUCUGUCUUUUAACCCCGAGUGGAAUCAGUCAGUUUUCAUGAAAAGGGAGGUUGGCCAGGAAAGUAGAGGUGUUGAGCCGAGCAGGAGGGCAAUCCGAAGCUAAGUGCUCUGUUUCAAACUAAGUAGUUGUGUGACCCAUAGCUGUUUUCCAACCUUGACACUGGAACUGAACCUGGCUAUGAUACUGCAGGCUGCAGGUGAACUCUUUACUCAAACACAGCACUUGGGUAAGAAACAUCAGAAUUAGCUCUAUCUCCAACAGCAUUAGCUUCUACUUCCGCUAUAGAUCUAGUGCAUUACCCUAUUGAUUAUCUUGCACCUAGGUCUCGCUUAUGUUAGUUGGGCAGCAUCGGCAGUGCAGUAUAGUUGACUUUCCAAUUAAUAGUAAAGGGAAGUCUCCGGACGUUACUCGCCCCUAAAGAGUAUAGUUCACUUUCCCAAUUAAUAGUCAAGGGCAGAUCCAGAUCCAGCAGUUCAAGAUUAUAGGCAUAAAUGCAUUAUAAGGCUAGUUUCUUUGUUUCAAUGAUGGAUUUCCUAUAAGACUCAAGAAGUUAUUAAAUAGUUCAUUUUCUCCUAACAUCUUUAGGGUGCGGAUUCUAAUAAGUCAAAGGAAAAGAAAGUCAUUAACUACCUGGUCCUCUACUAAAGAAGAGAGGCCAAGCAACUCAACUUAAUUGUAUAUCAAGUGCAAAAGAAACGAAAGAAUCAAUUAAUGAUUUGACUGCAGCUAAUGAUUUGACAUGACAGCAGCUAUCGGGUAUGGGUAUCUCGGUCGAAAGGAAUAAAAUAGAAUAAGAACAGAUAUUUUGUAUAUGGCUUUGUUGGUUCAUCGAUCCUGCCCCGGCUUCUAAUCAAUCAUAAAGUAAAGGAUCAGAAGAAGUCUCUUCAGCUGUGGGAGUUAAGUAAAGUUCUGGUGAAGAAUCAGUUGUUUCUGUUUCCCAGAGAUGAAUUAGGAGAAUUGCCUGCCCUUAUUUAAGCUCUGUCGGGGGAGGAAUUACGGAAUUUCCUCUCGUAACUGCUCCUGAGUCUGGGCUUGUUCCUUCUUCUUUACCAUCUGGGCUUGUUCCUUCUUCUUUACCAUAUAUUAGUAGAUACUAAACUUCAACUUAAGCUUCUACUUCAACUGGAACACUGGCAUUCCACAGAUCAAUAUUAAGCCCGGCUUGAGGAUACAGAUCAGAAACCGAAGAAUAGACUGUUUGAGUGAAGUCGAUAGGUAUGGGAGAGUAUCUAGUAGAACCCCCAUGCUAAGGGAGUAGUAACAAGCACCUCUGCAUUAACAGGAAGUCUAACCUCUUUACUAAGUAAUAAAGUGUUCGUCGAGCGUCAGGAGUGCAAGGGGUAGAAAGUCCAGGUAAAGUUCCUUAUAGAAAGAAAAGCAGAAAAGAAGUAAUUGUUUCCUAGGCUCGGAAGGGAAGGUAUCAAAACCCUAGUAUUGGAAUAAAACAAGCAAUUCCACUGGAAUUAAAGAACCUAGUCAUCUAUUCCGGAGUUCAACUGUAUUCAAGGCGGCAGCAACAAACUCUGGCUCUGGCACAGCGGAUUCUAUUACUUGUUGAAACUGCUUCCUCACCGGAACCUAUCUCGGUAGACUUAGAGCUAAUUACUUGACUCACUCGCAUACACUUAGGGUGCAAAGGGAAAGGAGGCUAAAGCAAGCACAGGAUCGGGCCAAGAUACUAUUCAUUUAGCCGGGUAAAGCUACUAUUCUUUUACUGACUAUUCUAUUCUAAGGUAUUAUAUAUAUAGAAAUAGGGGACAAUUAAGAGAAAACGAACACUAGCGGCAGGUGUUUGACUGGGAAAAGAAUAAACAAGACUCGAGCUAGGUAAGUAAGGGGUAAGUCCAGAUAGGUGGCAAGCGGGUAUCUAGGGUUCAAGUAAGGUUCAGGCUAUGAGCCAAGGAACUAUUAGACGUCAAAAGCUACUACUAGAUGCAGAGAAUCAGUAUCAUAUCCCUUACUUAUACUCAGUCAUAGGAGAAGCAGACCGGUCCCUUAUUCUUAUUAUCUUAUUAGUAGAUCCAUUAUUCUUAUGUACUAGAUCUUAUGAUCGGAGUGGGAAUGGGAAGAAAGAGAAUCCCCAGGUCCAGUACUAAGGGAAGAAAGAGAACCGUAGUGCUAGUCUAGGAAAGUUGCUAGGGUAGUGGACUGACUUAGUUGACUUACUUGUUAGGCUGAGGAGAAGUAGAUGAGAGUCCUUUUCCAGUUAGAAAGUGAGAAUGAUACUAAGAAGUCAUAAAGUAGGAGACCAACUCAUGGUGUAGAAUAAAAGAAUGGAACUAAGCACAUAUAGUAUAGGAGUCAAGAGUUAAGGUAUUCAAUAGUGACUCCUGUUCCAGCCCUAUAUUAAGUUGAAGAGUUGAAGAUCAGAGAACAUUUGUAGUGACUUGGCGCAUCUAGUAGUAGUAGAGUAGUGGAAUCCCCUUCAUUAGGAGUAGAAUCCCUUUAAGUACAGCUCCUGGUGGUACUGCCCCUGGUAGUCCUGUUCGAGUGUGAGUUUCAGACCGGUUAGUACUUGUUACAGAUGCAGAGUUGCAGACCGCUUUGUGUCCCUUAGUUACAGGUAGUUUUCGGAGAAGAAGCAAUGAAAUCAGCCUCCCCGAGCCUAGUCCAUAAACUUAAGGGCUUUGGGCAAUUAAUACCUGAUCUGAUGUACUAGAUGCUGGCCUAGUCCAUAAACUUAAGGGCUUUGGGCAAUUAAUACCUGAUGUACUAGAUGCUGGCCUAGUAACAGACUUCGGGGACUCGAUACUGCCAUACUAUGGUUUCAAUCAAUAGGUGUGUGUUGCCCCGGCCCGGAGAGUCCUUAGAGUGUUUUUACUUACUUCUAUAAUUGGUGUACCUGCACAAGUGUCUUAUUGCUGCUGAACCCGAAGCUACCUGCCUAAUUCUUGCUAUAACCCAUCUUAGCCUAGCCUUCCCGGAGACUAUUCUGGAGGACGCCCUAGAUUCUUAUUCCUCCGUGCGAACGGCCUUGUCUUGUGUUUAGUUCGAGAGUGAGUCUGCCCCUAUUUGCUUUCAAACUGACAUUGCUUUAUCCGAUUCUUGCUACCUGGACUUGGAUUCUUUAGUUCGAUUGCUGGUCUUACGCUCCCUGCUUGAAGUCUAUAUCUCCUUGUUCUCAUCAAUGGUAUAUUCAAUCGGCCAACCUUUACUGCUUAAGUACUUUUGGAUUCUCAUCUUGAAAUUGCUCUCUCUGUCUUUACUGUCUAUUAGUACUUAUUUCCGGACGAAAUGAAUACGAGUAAGAUCCACUAUCUGGUAAGUUAAGCUCGAGCUACUGCGGGUAAUUCUAAGAAGUAGCAUAACAUAAGAGGAGUUGGCUUCUGAUCUCCCAUCCACGGGCAUAUUCUUGCACUGAUAGAUUGAAUUCUUUGACUUAUUCAUUGGAUUCCCUUUUUCAAGUACUGGUUUAGUUAGCCAAUCCUUAUUGGCACUAGGUAAAGUCUGAGAAGCACUGGUUACAAUAUUGAAGUUAGUGGAUUCAUUCUCAUUGGCAUAGUAUCCAUUUUCGUUGUCAGUAGAUGCAUUCUCUUACUUAUGGAUGAAAUUGCUCGUCAGCAGAUCGAGUCCUAUUGGCAUUAGUCAUUGGGGGUGUCUUAUCAAAGAAUUAGAGAAAGCGGUACAAGACCCUAGCCUAAACUACGGAAUUAAGGUGAGUAAGAGCUGCCUUGGGAACACUUAUUCCAUUCUAGAUUCUAUAUGGAAUAAAGUAUUGUGGUAGACGCUAGUUGGGCUUAGAAGCAAGUCAAGCAAGAAUCAAAUGAGUAUUUGUGGAACAUAGCAUUAGUUUCACUGGUUUAGGGGCAUAAUCCAGAAUGUUAAGGUCCGGGCCAGCGCCAUCAACUAAUAAAGAAAUAGCUAAAGGCAACAGUAGAAGAAUAGGUAGUGGAGCAAAUGAGGGGGAAUCGGAGGUCAAACAUAGGAAACUGCUCGGAACACGAAACAGAGCAUAGGAAUCGGAACAAACAAUAGGAAUAGGCCCCCACACAAAAUGAAUUGAACUCAAUGCAGAGAUCUUAUGUUUUAGCCUUCCUUUCCUCCUAGUUAAGAUAUCCUGUGCUUUACUCUUUCUAUCGAGUUGGAUUCUUGUGUUCCCUAUGCCGCCUUGCUACUUGAGAUUGGGUUCCUAUCCGGAGUCUCCUUAGAUGCAUCCUUCGUUGUAGCUUCGGUCUUCCACUUGAUGUUUCAUUCCUUUUCCGCCGGAGCUCAACUCUAAUUAUAGAAUGUAUUUCUUUCCGGGGGCCUAUUAAGUAUCUUUGUUUCUAGUUUGAAUAUUCAUGUUCAGAAUGUCAUUUGAUAGCACUAGGACUCGGUUGGUGGACAAGAAAGGGAGAUAGGUUGGGCAAGAAGUAGGUCAAUUAUGUAAGUAAGCUUUUUUCUUAUCUGUUGGCGUACUAUUGAGUGAAAUCCAGUUUCAAAGCAAGCAGCGGUGCCAGGUGGUUAGUCAAAUCCCUAUUCCCAGUAUUCGUUUGUAGCCAGAGUAGAGGUGGGCAAGGACGGAAUUGCACUCAUAAGUGAGGAUACCCAGGCGCGGGAUACGAGCUAGGUCAGUAUAGGACUUCUGCUUUUUGACUAGGUCUAGUAUAGGACUUAUUGUUGUAAUAGUCAGAAUCAAAGAAGUAAAUAGCAGAGUGAAAGCAUAGAUCGAGAGCCUUGUCAGCGGCAAUUACAGGUUGAGUGGCCCGUCCAGAAAGCAAUACUAAUGGACAGUAAGGGAAGAGUUCAAGGUACGAGCUAAAGGCGUUGAAGCCUGUAGAGGAAGUUUGAAACUCAUAAGUCAGAAUAGAAUCACAGACAAGAAAGAGGGGCUCUUAGUUAAUAGGUAGUAAGCCAGUUAGGCAGUUGUUUUUGUCUUGUAUUAGGUCCAUCCCUUCCAUCAGUAGUUACAUUCCGAUAGUAGUGUCAGCAUCCUUAUGGGUAAGCGUUAGUAUCCAUUCUUGGGUCAGUAGCAUAUGCCCCACAGAGAAAUUCUUAUCAUCGUUAGUUGGAUUAUAGGGUUUCGAGUUAAGGCCCUAUUUAUCCGUUCAGUCUUAGAAGCAAUGACUAUGUCCUGUAUUCUUGUAUUGAUUUAUUAGAAGCAGGCUUGGAAGCGAGGAGUACGGCUUGGCAUUACAUAUAUUUGAUGGAUACAAUAAGGCCUGGACUGCUCAGUGACAUUAUAGGUCUUAACAGCCUUGUAGUGGAGACCAGUAUAUAGUUAUGAGUUGGGUCACACCCCGUAAGAGAGGUAAGUCUUUAAGCAGCAAAGCAAGGUAAGCGUCAGCUGCUGGGCUGGCAGCAGUGUUUCAAGCCAGAGUCGAGUGAUUAGUGGAAGUUUACCCUACCUAUGAGCCUUACCCUCCUUUCUGAAAAUCGAAUAUUCCUGUCUGCCAAGUAACUACCAGCGGGACCAGUUCUUUAUUUCACUAGUUAGCUAGUUGGUCUGCCUCUCCUCGUGCUCAUUCUUACUAGAAUGUUUCUUAGGACCAAGGCCAGUGUAAGAAGUAGCUCUGGUUUUCGCGCUCAAAAGAUUCAGCUAACGGUAGGGCGCUAAGCAAUAAAAAUGACUGUCCUCUGGUUUACUCGGAACAAGAAAGAGUGAUAGGAGCAAAAAAGAUUAGAUGCGAUCCAAAGUAGAAAGAUUCCAGAAAAGUAUGACUCGGAACAAUAAGUUGAUAAGCUUGUUACCUUAGCGCUUACUGAGCUCGGGGCGUUUCACCUAGACUUGAUAACUGGCGCAAUUCUUUAGCUUACUUACUUGAAAACUGUUUAUGCUGACUUCACUUUAUACAACAGAACACUACUUGCUGCUUCCUUUGGCACUGUUGAUUCAGUUGCUCCUUCUAAAGCUUCUUAUCCGGCUGGCUUCUGCUUGAACUGAGGAUUCUGAUUCUUUCGUAGACUCCACUUUUGUUAGCUAUACUGCAAAGAUCAAGAUCACAGGAACAAAAACACCACUUAGAUCUGGAACAAGAUCGGGAUCUGGAACAAGAUCGGAUCUGGAACAAGAUCGGGAUCAUCAUAAAGUACCUGUUUUGAUGCCCUAAGUUGUAGAUAGAGGAGGGGUGCUUCUGAAGCUAAUACAGUUUUAGUACGGUUGACAGUCGGCUUGGCUGAGUUCAAUCUAUUUAUUGGAAUUCUUUGUUUCAAGGGGAGCUCAAGUGAGCAGCACAACUGUAGGAGUGAGUUCAAAAGGAUCCUAUCCCCGGGAUUCCUUCUUCAUUUUACCAAAUCUAACACACAUGAGUGGAAUAAAUGUCAAUUAAGCUCAAUCGGAGCACUCAUCGUAGAGAAAGACAGGCGGGAAACAUUUAGCGGGGCGAUUCCUUAAUCUCUAAAUGGCAACAUAGGUUUAGGGGCAUUUUCCAAUGGGAAUAAUCUAAUAAUACCCUUCCAAAGGAGCAAACACUUUUCAAAAAAGGAGAUCGAACCACUGGGAUCUGAUACCUGGCUCUAUAAUGGGUUUCCCAAGAUCUUUUUCUUCCUUGGCUCUAAUAGGUUUACCUGGCUCUAAUAGGUUGGAUGAUCUUUUUCUUCUAUUACGGGGUGGGCAUGACAGCUCCUAAAAGCAUUCUUUUCUAUCUUGUACAUGACAGCUCCUAAUAGCAUUCUUUUCUAUCUUGUACCCAGUACACAGAAUACCAACCCCAUCUCGACAAAAAAGUGGAAUCGAUUCCAUCAUUCAAGUCGGAUAGCUCUACUAAGACCUACGUGAAAAGCUUUCUUCUCUUAUGCAAGAUUGAAUAGCAAACUAUGGUUAUUUCAAACACCGUAUACUGUCCCACCAACUGAUCCUUGGGUUCAUGCCGCACAGAAACCUAGACCUGAUAAGGAGGCAGUAGGAGAGAGUCCAGCAUAACGGAAAUCAUCUAAGCCGACAAGGACCCGGAGGAUGCUGAGGAAGAAGGCUUCCGUUCUUCUCUUAGGAAAAUCCAGACUGCAGCAGAGAAGGCAACCAUUAGGUUGGUGAGAUGGUAAAGUACCCAGCGGAAGGUAAGGCUGGGAAAGACCACAAUACGCUGGAGAAGGGAAAGACCUCGUCAACUCCGUAUUCUUAUUAGCUUUCUUUCAGGCUCCGAAAGCUGACCUGAUGGAGGAAUACUUUCCGGGAGUAAAGCAGUCAGACCCGAAAAUGAGCUAAAGUUCAAAUGAGCCAAAGUUGCAAGUGUUGUUAGGUAACUUACCUUCUAAGGUAGAUUGCAAGAUGGAUGAUCCUUACUUUCCAAAGAGAGUUAAUGGCUAAAACCAAUCAGGAUCAAUCUUAGGAAAGGGAUGUGGUAUAUACUCUGUAAGCUUGCCAUUAGGUAGUUAUUCCAAAAGUGCCCCGAGGCAAUGUCAAUUGAAGAAGGAAGGUUUUUCUCAUUAUCACUGACGGUCUAACCAAGGAACUAAGUUUUGGAGCUUACCCGUUAUCCAGGUCUGUUAUUAGGAUAGGACGGAAGUCGGGGCACUGCGCUUUAUCUCUUUAGCAGUGUGCUUCUUCCCUUCUUAAUGGAUCGGUCAAGCUCUUCUUAUCUUUCUAACUUGCCAACUUAGUUCCCGACUCCUUUAGCUCACCCUGCCACUCCAAACUAUAGGUUAGGCUUCCACUCUUAACUAUCAUACUAGAAAUCCUUUCUGGCAUCCCUGCUCGUUCGUUUGACUCUUCCCUUCCUAACUCGCAUUCCCAAACGACUCUAUAUUAGACUAAACCCAUGGACAGGUAAUCAAACACGGACUAGCAAGACAUAGCUAUACAAAAAAGAAUGGAACCGCUGCUACAAAGGAUGAAGCCGCUACUGAUAGGAGUCAAAUACAUAAUGGAGAAUCCGGGAAAGCAGUAGAAUACUCGAGAGCCACAUAAGCAAUAAUGAAAGUAAGGGAACUUAGAGUGAAAGGGGAGAUAGUCAGCCUGGGAAACAGUGGAUAAGGCCGGGGCUGAGUCUGGUACGCGCACAGUAUCAGGUGCUAGUGUUGCGAGAAGUAAAGUCAAGUUUAGUUACUACGCGUGGGGAUAGUCUGUUUUGAAACGAAGGAGUAUGUUUUGAAGCGAGUAACCGACUAGGGAAGGUAGCUACCUAUAAAGGGAAUAAUCAUACAAGAAUAGGGAAUGGAAAACAUAACAUAUGAGUCAAGUACGAGUGAGGAAAGGAGUGGUGCUUCUGAAGCGCUAAGCAUAUUUCUUCUCUUCAACUCCACCACUUGGAGCUAUAGCGGCACAUUGUGGUCAAAGUCUUACGCACAUUCGCCUCGGGUGCCUUAUAGUACCUUUCUCGUAGAUAGUCUCAGUGAAGAGCCGACCAUUCUAUGACAUUUCUCCCCCGUUGGUUAAAGCAGUGCUCAAAAAGAGAUUUGCCAGUUCACAAAUCAAGAAAGAAAGAAUGAUUUCACAGGCGCUUAAGGCAAUAAGUAUAAGAAAGCUCUCUCUCUCUUUUGAAUGAAGAUAUAUAUGAUAAGAAUUCCUUAUUUCUAGGCUAGGCCUUAUAUCUUUCUAGUUUGUUUCAGUCGUGGCCGGCUUGGCUUCUUCUGUUGUUAACACCACUCUGAAGAUGGGUUCAACUAAUCAAAUAGCAAAUCACCCAUUGAGCUAUCCGAAAACAGAACUUGCACCAACCGAAAUAUAAGUUCCGGAGCAGAACCACUUGCGCCAAUCGAGUCACCUACCUAACCUAACAUUGUUCUUUUUGAAUGGAACAGCUUACCUUUUGAAUUGAAUGAAACCGCUUGCCGCUGACACGGAUUCUUCUCUCCUCUAGUCGUCAAUACCUUUCCUUUCGGGAGACCUUGUUGAUUAUGAAUUCUGGAAACUUAUGGAAUUGAGGCAGACGAACCUUACCUUUACUUGUUCCGGCAAACGCCAAUCGCUGGGGAAAGAGCUGGAUCAUAAGCGCGAGGAAGUUUUCUCUUGAGUAGGAACAAGAUCUGAGGGGGUUCUAAUCCGCAUCUGAAUACGAAGCUUUAUCCGGAGAGAGAGUGGAAGUGGAAAGUGCUUAAAGCACCGGUGGAAAGUGCUGUUUUAGUCGUCGGGAGCUGGUAUUUCAUCCGCUUUGGGAAUCACACUUCAAUAACAAGAGUUUGCCUUGGCUGGAAGAAAGGGAGGGUCGUUUAGGAAAUGCCCUGUUAGGAAGUGAAUCAGAAGGGCUUGCUCUCGAAGAAGCAGUUUGGGGAAUAUCAGCAGUUAGGGUAAUAUAAGCAGUUAGGGUAAUAUAAGCUCCUGGUAGACGGUUUGAGGGAAGUGAACAAAUCAAAUAGUAGUCAAAUAAAAGGAAGAAGAAAGAAAGAUUAUGAAACUCUAAAGAGAAGAGAGCCAAGUAAGUCGAAGUGAACCAUUGGCCGAAGCGAGCGGUAUAACACUAACCAAGUCAGAGGGAAGAAGGAAGCAAUACAGUAGGGGCAGACUAUCUUGCUGGCAAGGAAGCGAAGCUUGUUGAUUUUGUAUGGAAAUUCGUAGUAUAGUUAGUUAUCUGACCCUUACCAAGGCUAGUUCUCUCCCUUAUAGUGAUCAAUGAACUUUCCAUUCCAAAUGGUACCGAAACCAUUGACUUUGUUAUUAGGGAAAAUCGGGUUGCAUCAACCCCGGUAAAAGGGCUCCUGCCUCUGUUCACUUAUGAACCUCUGUAACUACACAUCACUUCUAGCCUUGACUUGGAAAUCCCCCUUCUUGCCCUUACUCUCGAGAAUUGCCUGUUCGACACGACUGAAUGGAAUUUCUGAAUUCAAUCUAGCUAUCCUAAUAAUUAAGAUAGUAAAAACACAGCAUAGCUUCCCAAAUAGACUACUUACUCCAAUCUUUCUUCCCAAGGAGACUACUGACUACAAGAAUAAUAACUCUAAUAUAAUAGACUUCACUUAAGAAUUUCAUAUAAUAAACAUAUUCUAUAAGGAAGUACAAAAUAAGGUCAAGUCACCUAACUCGAAAUCAUAUUUGAGAGCAUUCUUCCUCAUAUAGAAUAGAUGAAAAACACAGCAUAGCUUCGUUUACUAUUUGAACACGAGUUUGGGGGGGGAUAUGGCAUAUACAUGAUGUGUAAGUUGGCUGACUUCGUGGCUGCUCGCCUCCUGAGAUGAUGCUUUAGUUUGCUACCUUACGGAUCUUCUUAAACAAGGAAGGAAGGAAGCGAUAGUCUUAUAACCGGCUGUUCUUCUUAUCUUUGUGCACCAUAAAACUCAUUCCAAAGAGAAUCUGAAAGCGAGUGCGAGAGGAGAGAUCUUUCAUGCAUUGUGGUAGAGUGGAGGUCUUUCAUGCAUUAAUAACCAAAUAUAGAAAUAGUCUAUGUCUGUCGUAGGCUUCUAGUUCUUUUCGGGAAAGGCUUGCUGCUAGCUGGGUUUUCUAUCAUCCAAUCCACAACAAAUCAAAUGAAACUGCUUAUAUGGAUUCAAACCCUUGUUCUCCGUUCUCGCUCGCCACUACUGUCCUCUCCGAGUCAUUUGGUUGUGUUGUAGGUAAAGGCCUGUCGCUUUCAAAAGUUCGAGUCCAACUGUUUUACUAGCCAAAAGAAUGGGAAGACGCCGACCAUCAAAUAAGAGAUUGCGCCCCCCGAUUAGAAUGUUAGUAAAAUACUUGAAAGCAAAUACCCUUUUUCACCACCCUGAAACUCGGAAAAAUAUGAUCUCUUAUAUCUAGGCCCGGAAAAAGAAAAUAGGAUCUCUUUAUAUAUACAACCUAAAGAAUAAGGUGGUAAUCAAGAAAGAAUGCGUGGGGGAACAAAUCAAUGUAACUCAGAGUAAACUUAUUCGAGAGGGCAAUCAGUGUGCUAGGCUCUGCUUUCAAGCCUUAUAGAAAAGAACUGCUUCACGGUAUCCUAUUCAAUCCAAUAUAUAAAUCGAAAUGAAUGGCACUAGUCUCUUUCUCCGAAAGAAGGAGGGAGAGUAGGCGAAGAAAUCCCUUGAGCAAACGAUAGUAUAGCAAUGAACAUAGAUAGGGAUGAUAUUUAUUUCAUCCCAGAAGAAGAAUAUUGGGUAUGGGGCAGAGUGGACAGAGGUCCUCCUUGGCUAGAUUCUCGGCAUCUCAGAGCUCCCCACUCUUCAAUUCUUAUGGAAUAGAAUAGGGUUUAUUAAGUUCACUAUUCCAUUGCUGCAUUUCUAGGGCCUCCAUAAACGGCCUAUCCCAUUGGAAUAUUAGUUUGCCUAUAGAUCAUUUGACAAAGUGUGAUCCGCACCUACGAAACAUAUUCUGGAGCGCUUAGGGCUUUCGACGUUGCCCACGUAGCGGUAGCACCUAGUUAUUUCAAAGAGAAUGAAAUGAGAACAAACAAGCAAUGGAACUAGACUCUGUACUAAUGUUCGCUUUUGGGCCUUAGUAUAGUUCCUUCAGUUCGAUGUUUGUGAGUUGCGCCUUAUCUUACUUAUACUUGUGUUCCGUAUCUUUCGCCAAAGUGCUAAUGUUAGAGUUAUAAAAAGAGAGAAAUGAAAUGAUUCCAGAAGUGAAGUAUUGUUAACAAUUGAAUGGACCAAUUGAGGUGAUGGGAUAACGGGGAACAGAUGACCUGACCCGCCCGCUACUUAUGGCGUGCUUGUUACAUUUAGUGCCAGCACUCUAACCAGGCAAAUACCUAAAACUCCAACUGACUGGGAUAGAGCUGUUUUCUCUUGAUGGCAGAGAGUAGGGCCCUUACUUUGCCUUAGUUUUUUCCGAUAUGUGUACGAGGUUGGCUUGCGGAGCAUCUUCUUUUGAGCAUAGGAACCCGACCUUGCUAUCUUUCUUUCGCCGAUUGGAAAGGGCCAAGCAACUAAGUAAGACGUUGGGCGGCCUGAGUCUUAUGCUUCGAACAUAGGACUUGGUCAUAUGAGUGAUAUUCUGUAUCUGUUGUCAGCAGGGUUCUCAGUCAACUCUAUUCUUCUCACGCUUAUGAUCUAUAGUAAUCCGCUUCCCUUACAUUCGACUAAGUAAGCCAAGGUGCAAGUCCAGCAUCGGUAGCUACUUCAUCCAUUUCAACUAAGUCUGGGCAUGAGGCUUUCUUUCCGGACUUUGAAUAUACUUCUUCUCUGCUGGAUCACUUUCAUUCUUUGACUCACUGGUUGAAUUCUGAUAUUGACUACCGAGCAGCUUUCUUAUCUACCUCGCCUCUGGAAACCGAACCCUAUUAUAAAGCUUCUUCUUCUUAUUCUUUACCUGAACAAGUAUACUUUCCUGGCAAUCCUACUAAACCAGCGUAAGCGAGACAAUGACCUGAACCUACUUCGACUUCUCCUGCGGAAAGACAAUAAGGACUUUGGGCGGAAGAAGCACCUAUCUCUCCACGACCUCUCCUUGCAGAAUCGUUUGCUUAUGAUCUGCCACUUAGGGCACAGUUGAGAAAAGUGCUUAGCGAUGAGCCUUUCUAAGUUUUCAGCAGUCAAAAAGUAAGCUCCAAGCGGUUUUGAACUUCAAGUCGGUGCAUGAUUAAGUUGGGCAAUUAUCUAAGCUAGGCGGGCGAUACCUUCCCUUUGCCUUGCGUGCCUAACCAUCUAGUUCAAAAGUGAGUUCAAAAGUGAUGAUAUAAGGAAAGAUAACUGAAUAAGUUUCGUAAAAGUAGUCAACAGCUGAUCUACCUGUGGCUCAUCUCUUCUCUUUCUUCCCUUGCCCACCUCCUAAACUGCUUCCCGACCCGACCUGUACUAAGAAACUCCCUUGCAACUCUAAUUAAAGUCACUUCUUGUCUUCCCCUCGCCUCUCCUCUUGCGCAUCCACCUCUGUCAAUAAAGAAUGAAACUCUCAAUACACCGCUUCAACUCCCUUUCCCCUUAGCCGAGUCAACUAAUACUAAUCUGUCUUUGCUACUCGAUAAGAUGCUUGAUCUGAUUCCAAAGAAAGGGAUGCCUGCCAGUCAGAUUCCAAAGAAAGGGAUGCAGACCAAGCCGACAAGACGACAAGAAACGCAGCCAAGUAGAGUAGUUCACUUAGUCACUAAUGCGAUAGAUCUAUCCCUGAAAUACAGACCUGUUGCUUCCGCUGACGGUAUAGUUUCAAUCUGGUGUUACAAUAGAAGCAAUAACCCUCUUCAACCUUAUUCUAAUGCAAUUGAAAGCUGGUUUCAUCUCCUCAUAGGUCAUUUCCCAUAAAACUCAAUAAGAGCUGUUAUAGUGCAUUUAUUCCUAACAUCUUGAUGGUUCGACUUCACCUCUGGCUCUGUCAACUAAUAGAGUUAUUGCUCUAGUCUACUCUGUACUACUCGUAUACUUGUUUGGGCUGUAAACCAUGGCUAUCCGACCUAAACUCUCAGUGAAGCUUACCUCUUACCAGUGCCUUACCUUACUUGAGAACAGAAACAGCUCUUUCAUCUUACCGGGGAAGUGGAAUUCUUUGACUACUGAGGUUCAUUCUGAAAUGACUUAUUCCUAGGUUUGAGUUCAAUUAUGAGUCUACCCGGCUUCAUUCUAACUUUCCGUAUUCCUAGCGGCCUAGUUCAUUCUGAGUGAUAUCGGUUUGAUUCUCACUACCCUGGCUUUAAGGCUGUUACUCUUUAGGUCAAUUCUAACUAUACCUAGCAUCUGAGUAGCACUGGUUGCAUUCUGAGUCUGCUUAGUCCAUUACGAGCCUAUCCGGUUUCAGCCUUGGAUGCACUGGUUGAAGCCUGCCCAGCAUCGGUAUCAGUCUGAGAAACCUAAGCAUCAGUCUUGGAGUUACUGCUUUCAGGC